UCCGAAGGUGACUAGCGUUGGUCGGAAUCACUGGGCGUAAAGCGCACGCAGGCGGAUCGAUAAGUCGGGGGUGAAAGCCCGGGGCUCAACCUCGGAAUUGCCUUCGAUACUGUCGGUCUCGAGUCCGGGAGAGGUGAGUGGAAUUCCUAGUGUAGAGGUGAAAUUCGUAGAUAUUAGGAAGAACACCAGUGGCGAAGGCGGCUCACUGGCCCGGUACUGACGCUCAGGUGCGAAAGCGUGGGGAGCAAACAGG
RNAcentral lists this ribosomal RNA (253 nucleotides) under uncultured bacterium. RNAcentral describes it as "partial 16S ribosomal RNA". It matches the Rfam family "Bacterial small subunit ribosomal RNA", at positions 524 to 776 of the family's 1533-position model. The record is from RNAcentral.